Microcebus murinus (gray mouse lemur) is the source of this 1603-nucleotide long non-coding RNA. RefSeq lists it as uncharacterized. Lineage: Eukaryota; Metazoa; Chordata; Mammalia; Primates; Cheirogaleidae. The record is from RefSeq and is a predicted model, not a curated record.
GAACCCCAAACUCUGUUUCAGCAUAUGAUUCCAGAGAAUCCUACCUGCAGCAGUCACUGAGUGUAAACAUGAAGGAAAGGAAAAACAGAAAGACAAUGAAAAUGAAUUUGAAGAAAAUGUAUUUGCAGGAUGUGGGCGAUAAAGGACUGCACAAAGCAGCAUGAAUUCCAGGGCUGAGACUUGCUUCAAGUUAUCUAUCUACCAUCUUCAACUGCGUGCCUGCAAAUGAGAUGCCAAGGGUCACUCUGUGUCAGGACUUGAACAGAGAGGUUCAGAAUCUUGGCUUUCACACAGGACAUUAGAGGCUCAGCAGUCACCCUGGUUGUCUUCACCCACGUGGAAAGUUCCUGCCUUCUUACAAUCCCACCCCUUGAGACACCCUGCAUCCCAGCCCUUGAGACACCCUCUCCCAGGAUCUUGGCACCGGUUGGGAAAUCUUCAACUCUAAUGUCAUAAAUUCUGACCGUAAUUAUCCCUGCAUGUUUUGCCUUCACUUGUUCCCUAUAUGCAGAUUUUCUAUCCUAUGUAGAUCCUCAAUGACAUUUGAUUCUAUUGACUCUUUCUUAGUUCUUAAAACAGUUUCUGGCCUCAGCUUCAUAUAUUAGUGAAUUUCCUGCCAUCUCCCUGGCCCUUCCUUCACUGUAACCUCUGUAGUUUUAUCCUCCUUUACAUAGUCAUUAAAUGUCAUAUUUCAUAUGACUUCAUCCUACCCCCCUUCACUUUUCACUAUGCUAUCGCUCGAUUGUCACUUCUUUUUCCAUGCACUGAGACACUUAUUUUUUAAAAAAUCUGAGGCUAAGGUGAAGGAAGAAACCACUACUUAUUAACUGAAACACAAAGCUGAAUUUAUUAUUUACUUCAUGGGAUUUUUACAGUUUAGAGAAUGGGUUGAUAUCAACCUGGAAGCAUGAUCGCUUGGGGAACACUGCAGUGAGAUGGUCAACUUUUUUGUAUGUUCACCAGAGUGAAGCUCUUGCCCAUUGGUUGUCUUUCAAAAGAAGGACAUUAUUGCUCAUUAACUGGCUUUCAAAAACCUUUCUCUGAGCAAAUUAUCAUGGAUUGAUUAAGUGGGUUUAAGGCUGAUUGUAGUGGUAACUUGUUACUGUAGCUACAAAACAAUAAGUUGUUUCUGAGGAGUAUAGGAAAUUAUUAAAUUUCUUAUUGAGCUGUGUUUUUAAAAAAUUGAACUUCAGGCAUCCAAAUAUGUAUUCACUGUUCCAACUUGGAUAUCUCAAAAGCAUUUGAACUCAACACAUCCAAAGGAAAAUGUGUGUUUUUCCUUCCAAACUUUAUCUUUCUCUUGAAAGACACAUCUGCCCAUCCAGAUUAGGAUCUGGCAAACUUUUUCUGUAAAGGGGUAGACAAUAAAUAUUUCAGGUUUCGCAAGACAUGUAAUCUCUAUUGUGACUACUCAACUCUGCCACUGUGGUGCAAAGGCAGCCACAGACAGCACAUAAACAAAUGGGCAUGUUCGUGUUCCAAUAAAACUUUAUUUUCAAAACCAGAAAAAGGCUGGAUUUGGCCCAUGGGUCAUGAUUUGGCCAUCAUGGAUUUAGAUGAUCAAGACAUAAACAUAGGAAGUAUUUCAGAUAGUUCUUUCUCU